This 650-nucleotide ribosomal RNA is filed under the name uncultured bacterium. RNAcentral's name for it is "bacterial SSU rRNA". The stretch from base 1 to 554 matches the Rfam family "Bacterial small subunit ribosomal RNA", at positions 338 to 873 of the family's 1533-position model. The record is from RNAcentral.
CCUACGGGAGGCAGCAGUGGGGAAUUUUGGACAAUGGGCGAAAGCCUGAUCCAGCCAUGCCGCGUGCGGGAAGAAGGCCUUCGGGUUGUAAACCGCUUUUGUCAGGGAAGAAAUCCUUUGAGUUAAUACCUCGGGGGGAUGACGGUACCUGAAGAAUAAGCACCGGCUAACUACGUGCCAGCAGCCGCGGUAAUACGUAGGGUGCGAGCGUUAAUCGGAAUUACUGGGCGUAAAGCGUGCGCAGGCGGUUAUGCAAGACAGAUGUGAAAUCCCCGGGCUCAACCUGGGAACUGCAUUUGUGACUGCAUAGCUAGAGUACGGUAGAGGGGGAUGGAAUUCCGCGUGUAGCAGUGAAAUGCGUAGAUAUGCGGAGGAACACCGAUGGCGAAGGCAAUCCCCUGGACCUGUACUGACGCUCAUGCACGAAAGCGUGGGGAGCAAACAGGUAUUAGAUACCCUGGUACGUCCACGCCCUAAACGAUGUACACGUUGGUUGUUCGGACGGUCUUGCUUGUUCGUACGUAACGAACGACGUACGCGUGUAGUAGACCGCCGUCGGGAGGUACGGUCCGGUCGUAGGUUAGUUAACGUACGUUAAGUUAGUAGUUAGACGGCGNGAGACGNGCGACGGACGACGACGAGGGAGGAGG